UACGUAGGGUGCAAGCGUUGUCCGGAAUUAUUGGGCGUAAAGAGCUCGUAGGCGGUCUGUCGCGUCUGCUGUGAAAACCUAGGGCUUAACUCUGGGCGUGCAGUGGGUACGGGCAGGCUAGAGUGCGGUAGGGGAGACUGGAAUUCCUGGUGUAGCGGUGAAAUGCGCAGAUAUCAGGAGGAACACCGAUUGCGAAGGCAGCUCGCUGGGACGUAACUGACGCUGAGACGCGAAAGCGUGGGGAGCAAACAGG
RNAcentral lists this ribosomal RNA (253 nucleotides) under uncultured bacterium. Its description in RNAcentral is "partial 16S ribosomal RNA". It matches the Rfam family "Bacterial small subunit ribosomal RNA", at positions 524 to 776 of the family's 1533-position model. The record is from RNAcentral.